RNAcentral lists this ribosomal RNA (452 nucleotides) under uncultured bacterium. RNAcentral's name for it is "bacterial SSU rRNA". It matches the Rfam family "Bacterial small subunit ribosomal RNA", at positions 340 to 784 of the family's 1533-position model. The record is from RNAcentral.
UACGGGAGGCAGCAGUGGGGAAUAUUGCACAAUGGGCGCAAGCCUGAUGCAGCCAUGCCGCGUGUAUGAAGAAGGCCUUCGGGUUGUAAAGUACUUUCAGUCGUGAGGAAGGUGUUAAGGUUAAUAACCUUAGCAAUUGACGUUAGCGACAGAAGAAGCACCGGCUAACUCCGUGCCAGCAGCCGCGGUAAUACGGAGGGUGCGAGCGUUAAUCGGAAUUACUGGGCGUAAAGGGCACGCAGGCGGUUAAUUAAGUUGGAUGUGAAAUCCCCGGGCUUAACCUGGGAAUGGCAUUCAAGACUGGUUAGCUAGAGUCUUGUAGAGGGGGUAGAAUUCCGAUGUGUAGCGGUGAAAUGCGUAGAGAUGUGGAGGAAUACCGGUGGCGAAGGCGGCCCCUGGACAAAGACUGACGCUCAUGUGCGAAAGCGUGGGGAGCAAACAGGGAUUAGAUA